ACAGGGUCUGGCUCUGUCACCCAGGCUGGAGUGCAGUGGCAAGUUCAUGGCUCACUGCAACCUCCACCUUCAGAGGUCAAGCCAUCCUCCCACCUCAGCUUCCUGAGUAACUGGGACUACAGUUUAGGUGAAAAAUGAGAAGAUUAAAUAAGCCAUGGGAAGAUUUUUAAAAAUGACAUGAAACUCCACGGGUAAAAAGUAGACAUUUCCACCCUUCCCUGCUUCAUCCAUACCUCCAAAAACAGAACCCUUCAAAGAACGUCCUGAGAAGAACAACUGGCCACUGAUUUUGAGUUGAACACCAGCAGGCAACACCCCAACAACCACACAGACCCCAUAGCUCUCAUUGCAGGAGGCGAGGGCAGCUGCCUGUUAGAAAGUGAUGCAAUACAGUAUAGGAGUUAAAAGAUGUAUGUGAGGAUUAAGCCUACGUCUUAAUUUCAGCUUAACUUCUAAAUGGUCUAUGACUUUCUUUUCUGAUUCUCCCUAUUCUCAUUUGAAGUAACGUUUAUCUUGUAAGGAUGCUAUGAAACACAUAUAAGACGUUGUAUGUUGCCUAGCAUAGUACCUGGCACUUUAGGACUCAAGAAAUGGAAAUAACAAAAAUGAAUAUAGUAAAAACAUCCACAGUAGUGAUAAUAAUAAAAAUAAUUUUCAUAAAAAUUGUUACUGAUGCAGGUGGCUGGUAAGAAUUGACAUUUUUCUUUUAGACAUCUAAGAAGACAGAUAUUUAUAUAAUAAGAUGAUAGCAAAGUGAGAAACAGAUACCGUUACAUUCGUUAUGUUCAAAGGCUAUUUCUCAGAGUAAGAGUGUGAGAAAGGUUUUGCUGUAUCUUCUUACAGAUAAAGGAAUUUAUGUAUGGUGAAUCAUGAAAAGAUAUUUUAUGCUGGGAAAAGGGCCCAAGUUGGAAGAGGCAGUUGUUGAGUUUCCAUACAGCUGACUAGAAGAUAGAGCCAUGCAACCUAAUAAUACACUAUUUCUUCAAAUCCCCAAAGAAAACAAGCCUCAGAUUUUGAAGUAACUUCCCCUCACUUUCUAUUCUUUUAUAUAAACCAUGUUUAGCUGGAAAAAUCAUCACUUUUUUUCCCUUUCAUUUUUGAAAUGAACCUGUUUAAUCAUGACUAGUAAGUAUUUUUCUUGGAAACAUCUCAGAUCCGACAUG
Molecule: long non-coding RNA, 1163 nt
Organism: Symphalangus syndactylus (siamang)
Lineage: Eukaryota; Metazoa; Chordata; Mammalia; Primates; Hylobatidae
Source: RefSeq, a predicted model, not a curated record